Molecule: transfer RNA, 74 nt
Filed under: Pirellulales bacterium
Lineage: Bacteria; Pseudomonadati; Planctomycetota; Planctomycetia; Pirellulales
Description: tRNA-Pro
Rfam family: tRNA
About the family: Transfer RNA (tRNA) molecules are approximately 80 nucleotides in length. Their secondary structure includes four short double-helical elements and three loops (D, anti-codon, and T loops). Further hydrogen bonds mediate the characteristic L-shaped molecular structure. tRNAs have two regions of fundamental functional importance: the anti-codon, which is responsible for specific mRNA codon recognition, and the 3' end, to which the tRNAs corresponding amino acid is attached (by aminoacyl-tRNA synthetases). tRNAs cope with the degeneracy of the genetic code in two manners: having more than one tRNA (with a specific anti-codon) for a particular amino acid; and 'wobble' base-pairing, i.e. permitting non-standard base-pairing at the 3rd anti-codon position.
Source: RNAcentral
CAGGGUGUAGCGAAGUCUGGCAUCGCGCAAGCUCGGGGAGCUUGAGAUCGCAGGUUCGAAUCCUGCCACUCUGA